CAAGUCGAACGGUAAGGCCCCUUCGGGGGUACACGAGUGGCGAACGGGUGAGUAACACGUGGGUAAUCUGCCCUGCACUUCGGGAUAAGCCUGGGAAACCGGGUCUAAUACCGGAUAUGAACUCCUGCCGCAUGGUGGGGGUUGGAAAGUUUUUCGGUGCAGGAUGAGCCCGCGGCCUAUCAGCUUGUUGGUGGGGUAAUGGCCUACCAAGGCGACGACGGGUAGCCGGCCUGAGAGGGUGAUCGGCCACACUGGGACUGAGACACGGCCCAGACUCCUACGGGAGGCAGCAGUGGGGAAUAUUGCACAAUGGGCGAAAGCCUGAUGCAGCGACGCCGCGUGGGGGAUGACGGUCUUCGGAUUGUAAACCCCUUUCAGUAGGGACGAAGCGCAAGUGACGGUACCUGCAGAAGAAGCACCGGCUAACUACGUGCCAGCAGCCGCGGUAAUACGUAGGGUGCGAGCGUUGUCCGGAAUUACUGGGCGUAAAGAGCUCGUAGGCGGUUUGUCACGUCGUCUGUGAAAUCCCUCGGCUUAACCGGGGGCGUGCAGGCGAUACGGGCAGACUUGAGUACUACAGGGGAGACUGGAAUUCCUGGUGUAGCGGUGAAAUGCGCAGAUAUCAGGAGGAACACCGGUGGCGAAGGCGGGUCUCUGGGUAGUAACUGACGCUGAGGAGCGAAAGCAUGGGUAGCGAACAGGAUUAGAUACCCUGGUAGUCCAUGCCGUAAACGGUGGGCGCUAGGUGUGGGGUCCUUCCACGGACUCCGUGCCGUAGCUAACGCAUUAAGCGCCCCGCCUGGGGAGUACGGCCGCAAGGCUAAAACUC
RNAcentral lists this ribosomal RNA (829 nucleotides) under Dietzia sp. 3-149. RNAcentral's name for it is "bacterial SSU rRNA". It matches the Rfam family "Bacterial small subunit ribosomal RNA", at positions 58 to 902 of the family's 1533-position model. Lineage: Bacteria; Bacillati; Actinomycetota; Actinomycetes; Mycobacteriales; Dietziaceae. The record is from RNAcentral.